AUGCUUAUGGCUUAUCCCAAGAAUCCCCCUUCGGAUUCGGUUUCAAUAAAUGAAAUAAAUGGGAAUACUUCUACAGUUCUACCACAAAACAUCUCAAACCAAAGCCCAAGUCAAAUAGCUAACUAUAUAUAUGAUGAGAAAUCUCUCUGCCUUAAUCCCUAUCCAAAAAGGAAGGAUUUGAAUUUGUUCUAUGAGAGCUCCAGCCUCCUCCACAACAUCGAGGCCCCUAAUCGCCACCACCGCUUCCUUCCGAUGACGCAACCUCCACACCAGCCGCCACGCCUUCAUGCCUCCGCCUGGCGCAAGUUAUGUUUUGUGACUUUGUAG
Molecule: ribosomal RNA, 327 nt
Filed under: Triticum aestivum (bread wheat)
Lineage: Eukaryota; Viridiplantae; Streptophyta; Magnoliopsida; Poales; Poaceae
Description: partial small subunit ribosomal RNA
Source: RNAcentral